GGCUGCGUGGUCGAGUGGUGAGGCAGAGGCCUGCAAAGCCUCCGACGCGGGUUCGAGUCCCGCCGCAGCCACCA
Molecule: transfer RNA, 74 nt
Filed under: Siphonobacter aquaeclarae
Lineage: Bacteria; Pseudomonadati; Bacteroidota; Cytophagia; Cytophagales; Cytophagaceae
Description: tRNA-Cys
Rfam family: tRNA
About the family: Transfer RNA (tRNA) molecules are approximately 80 nucleotides in length. Their secondary structure includes four short double-helical elements and three loops (D, anti-codon, and T loops). Further hydrogen bonds mediate the characteristic L-shaped molecular structure. tRNAs have two regions of fundamental functional importance: the anti-codon, which is responsible for specific mRNA codon recognition, and the 3' end, to which the tRNAs corresponding amino acid is attached (by aminoacyl-tRNA synthetases). tRNAs cope with the degeneracy of the genetic code in two manners: having more than one tRNA (with a specific anti-codon) for a particular amino acid; and 'wobble' base-pairing, i.e. permitting non-standard base-pairing at the 3rd anti-codon position.
Source: RNAcentral